AUUGAACGCUGGCGGAAUGCUUUACACAUGCAAGUCGAACGGCAGCACGGGGGCAACCCUGGUGGCGAGUGGCGAACGGGUGAGUAAUACAUCGGAACGUGCCCGGUCGUGGGGGAUAACGUAGCGAAAGUUACGCUAAUACCGCAUACGAUCUGAGGAUGAAAGCGGGGGACCUUCGGGCCUCGCGCGAUCGGAGCGGCCGAUGUCAGAUUAGGUAGUUGGUGGGGUAAAGGCCUACCAAGCCGACGAUCUGUAGCUGGCCUGAGAGGACGACCAGCCACACUGGGACUGAGACACGGCCCAGACUCCUACGGGAGGCAGCAGUGGGGAAUUUUGGACAAUGGGCGCAAGCCUGAUCCAGCCAUUCCGCGUGCAGGACGAAGGCCUUCGGGUUGUAAACUGCUUUUGUAUGGAACGAAAAGGCUCUGGCUAAUACCUGGGGCUCAUGACGGUACCGUAAGAAUAAGCACCGGCUAACUACGUG
This 484-nucleotide ribosomal RNA is filed under the name uncultured bacterium. Its description in RNAcentral is "partial 16S ribosomal RNA". It matches the Rfam family "Bacterial small subunit ribosomal RNA", at positions 30 to 507 of the family's 1533-position model. The record is from RNAcentral.